This 859-nucleotide long non-coding RNA is filed under the name Vulpes vulpes (red fox). RNAcentral describes it as "lncRNA (ENSVVUG00000017101.1)". Lineage: Eukaryota; Metazoa; Chordata; Mammalia; Carnivora; Canidae. The record is from RNAcentral.
UCCUAUGGAAAGGAAACUUAUCAUAGACUUCCCCAAAAUGAGGCUUGCUCUCUCCACUAAGACAGAUCAUUAAUGUCCAAAACUUUUGAAACAUUAACUAUUCACUUAAAUUUUGGGAAAUUGAUGUUACCAAAAAGUCCCAGCAAUUCGAGUCUCCUUCAGAGAGUAGUGAUACUGGCUGAACACCAUGAUUUACAUUCCAUCUUCAAAGCGAGAUAAUGCAAGAAUGCCAAAAAUUCAACAGAGCCUUCUCAAGUAACAAUCUUGUCCUUGAGAGAGCAGUGGGAUUUUUGAGUUGUGGGAUUUUCCACUCAUUUCUUCUAUCGUUUUCCAACUUCCUUGCCUUCAAGUGUCAACUGGCUCCUCUCAGUCACAGCUGUACAAAUCACAAGGACUUUCAUUGGCAUGAGACAUAUAUAUUAUUCAUCUAUCCGGUUUCAUCUGAAGGAAAUCCAAUAAAGGCACAAUUUUACUUUCCAAUGAAAUAUUCAAAGCUGCUUUUUCCCCAUGAGAAACUGGGCAGACAACUUCAUCCAUGAUCAAUAUGCUGAGAGUUCUGAAGUCUAUUAGGCACAAAUUAUCAACUUCUCCACUGGUCCAUCCCGAUAGCAGUGUGGAACAACUCAGAAACAGUCAAACUGUCUGGAUUCAAUUCCUUGCUCUAUUGUUUAUCAAUGUGCGGCCUUAUGUUAUUGGCCAAACUGAUUUGAGGCCAAGUUUGUUUUGUUUUGUUUUGUGUUUUAGAGAGAGAGAGAGCGUGCGCACACAAACAAGUGGCGGGGGGUGGCAGAGGGACAGAGAGAAUCUUUGGCAGGCUCCAUACCCAGCAUGGAGCCCCAUGCAGGGCUCAAUCUCAUGA